GGGUUAGUAGAUUGGUCAUGCCACCGGUAUGUACUGGUCUUACUGAUUCCUCCUUCCUGAUGAACCGUAAUGCCAUUAAUUUGGUGUUGCGGGGAGACUGGACUGUUGCUUUGAAAAAAUUAGAGUGUUUAAAGCAGGCUAACGCUUGAAUACAUUAGCAUGGAAUACGGAAAUAGGACGUUCGAUCCCAUUUUGUUGGUUUCUAGGAUUGACGUAAUGA
RNAcentral lists this ribosomal RNA (220 nucleotides) under uncultured fungus. RNAcentral describes it as "partial 18S ribosomal RNA". The stretch from base 40 to 220 matches the Rfam family "Eukaryotic small subunit ribosomal RNA", at positions 686 to 868 of the family's 1831-position model. Lineage: Eukaryota; Fungi. The record is from RNAcentral.